This 87-nucleotide non-coding RNA is filed under the name human gut metagenome. RNAcentral's name for it is "TPP riboswitch (THI element)". The stretch from base 2 to 79 matches the Rfam family "TPP riboswitch aptamer (THI element)", at positions 9 to 90 of the family's 105-position model. From Rfam's summary of the family: Vitamin B(1) in its active form thiamin pyrophosphate (TPP) is an essential coenzyme that is synthesised by coupling of pyrimidine and thiazole moieties in bacteria. The previously detected thiamin-regulatory element, thi box was extended, resulting in a new, highly conserved RNA secondary structure, the THI element, which is widely distributed in eubacteria and also occurs in some archaea. Analysis of operon structures identified a large number of new candidate thiamin-regulated genes, mostly transporters, in various prokaryotic organisms. The record is from RNAcentral.
CACAGGGGUGCUGAUUUUCGGCUGAGAGCGCGGUUGCGUAACCCUUACACCUGAUCCGGAUAAUGCCGGCGGAGGAAGUUUGUUUUC